CCAGACUCCUACGGGAGGCAGCAGUGGGGAAUAUUGCACAAUGGGCGGAAGCCUGAUGCAGCAACGCCGCGUGCGGGAUGACGGCCUUCGGGUUGUAAACCGCUUUCGCCUGUGACGAAGCGUGAGUGACGGUAAUGGGUAAAGAAGCACCGGCUAACUACGUGCCAGCAGCCGCGGUGAUACGUAGGGUGCGAGCGUUGUCCGGAUUUAUUGGGCGUAAAGGGCUCGUAGGUGGUUGAUCGCGUCGGAAGUGUAAUCUUGGGGCUUAACCCUGAGCGUGCUUUCGAUACGGGUUGACUUGAGGAAGGUAGGGGAGAAUGGAAUUCCUGGUGGAGCGGUGGAAUGCGCAGAUAUCAGGAGGAACACCAGUGGCGAAGGCGGUUCUCUGGGCCUUUCCUGACGCUGAGGAGCGAAAGCGUGGGGAGCGAACAGGCUUAGAUACCCUGGUAGUCCACGCUGUAAACGGUGGGUACUAGGUGUGGGGCCCAUUCCACGGGUUCCGUGCCGUAGCUAACGCUUUAAGUACCCCGCCUGGGGAGUACGGCCGCAAGGCUAAAACUCAAAGGAAUUGACGGGGGCCCGCACAAG
This 588-nucleotide ribosomal RNA is filed under the name uncultured bacterium. RNAcentral's name for it is "bacterial SSU rRNA". It matches the Rfam family "Bacterial small subunit ribosomal RNA", at positions 331 to 929 of the family's 1533-position model. The record is from RNAcentral.